This 405-nucleotide unclassified non-coding RNA is filed under the name soil metagenome. Its description in RNAcentral is "partial contains 5.8S ribosomal RNA, internal transcribed spacer 2, and large subunit ribosomal RNA". The stretch from base 1 to 122 matches the Rfam family "5.8S ribosomal RNA", at positions 35 to 154 of the family's 154-position model. The record is from RNAcentral.
GAUGAAGAACGCAGCAAAAUGCGAUACUUGGUGUGAAUUGCAGAAUCCCGUGAACCAUCGAGUUUUUGAACGCAAGUUGCGCCCGAAGCCUUUUGGCCGAGGGCACGUCUGCCUGGGCGUCACGCAUCGCGUCGCCCCCCCACAAUUCUCCGUAAAGGGAACAUGUGUUUUGGGGGCGGAUAUUGGUCUCCCGUGCUCAUGGCGUGGUUGGCCGAAAUAGGAGUCCUUUCGAUGGACGCACGAACUAGUGGUGGUCGUAAAAACCCUCGUCUUUUGUUUCGUGCUGUUGCUCGCAAGGUAAACUCUUUAAAAACCCCAAUGCGUCGUCUCUUGACGACGCUUCGACCGCGACCCCAGGUCAGGCGGGACUACCCGCUGAGUUUAAGCAUAUCAAUAAGCGGAGGA